This 327-nucleotide ribosomal RNA is filed under the name Triticum aestivum (bread wheat). RNAcentral's name for it is "partial small subunit ribosomal RNA". The record is from RNAcentral. Lineage: Eukaryota; Viridiplantae; Streptophyta; Magnoliopsida; Poales; Poaceae.
AAAAAGGCAAAUUGGGAUAUGCACACCACAUAGCCAUUUUAUGCCAGUAUAUGCAAAGAUGAGGUUGAAAAUCGUAACAGGCCAGGGGGAUGUUUGAACCGUAGAGGUUAUGAUAAAAAUCUUGGAGAAAAGUUCUUGGCUAGGACAGGGAAACAAAUUUCCAAGACUCGGUUAAAAAACAAAUGGGACAUGUUGAGGAGACAGUAUACACAAUUCAUGGUGUUGAAAAAUGCGGCAACUGGGCUAGGUUGUGAUGACGUGAAAGGAACUAUUGUAGCCGAUGAUGAUUGGUGGAAGGUUCAUCUUAAGGCAUGUAGUAUCUCGUGA